GAUUUGCAAUGUAAGAACCACUGCAAUAGGGAGGUGGUGCAUUGAUCUUGUGAGGAAAUGUAGGGGCUGAAGUGUAAGUUGUGCUUAGAUUUUCUGGAACCCACCUUUUUGAGGUCAUAAACAUAUGAAAGAUGUAGGAGAUAAUCAGGCUGAGUCUGAGGGCAGGGUCACCUGCAUCAUCCAUUUGGAGUCUCUACAUCUCUGUGAGUGACCUAGACAUGUCUCCAGAUCCAGUAUCAUGUGGCUCUCCUCCUGCAGCACUGUUGAUGGAAUAAAGGGAGAUCUGGUGAAUUUGCUUCAUCUGCAAGAAUGAGAGUUGGUAUCUCUCUUUUUCUAGCCUCCAUCCUUGAGCUGGUUGCUGGAGACCCUAUACAAGGGUUCAGAUUUCUAGCUGGUCAAUCAACCAUUCUCUACUGGACUUCUUUCUUGCUGACAUGGAGGUGGAGAGGAAUUCUUUCAGGCAGUCAUUGGGUUGCAACACUUGUCUAGUCCAUUGAGGAAAGCUAUCUUUGUCCACUGAAAGGAGAAAAGGGAAAAUUUUCUGGAAAAUGACUAUGAGAUGACAGAGCUGUUUUCCAACUACAUCUGAUGUCCAUCCUGUUACAACAGCUACAACAAACAAACAAAUAUCAGUAAAGCAUAUUUUGUGUCUGGUAUGUCACAUCUAUUUUAGCCCAAAGAAAGAAUGAAUACUUAACUGCUUAAGUUAUAAAGUACAUCACAAUACGAUUCACAGCAUGAGGUUAAUUUGUUUUUUUACAAUGAAAGCCAAGGACUUCCAAAAUAGGAGAAGAGGGAUUAUAACCAGAAAAAACAAAUCCACCAAGCAAAGCCCUGGGACCAGCAAUCUCUUUUCGCCUUUUUCACUGAGGAGUUUCUAUGCUCUGCUAAACUUCCAGAACUCUCCUGGCCUAUGUGCCUUUUCAAUAGUUAUUUUAAAAUGUGAUUGUUUUCAUAUAUUUAUUGUGUUUAAUUAAGUGUUGUAUGCUACCCGGACUCACUUUCAUGAGAUAAGCAGCUAUAUAAAUUAAAUACAUACAUACAUACAUACAUACAUACAUACAUACAUACAUACAUACUCAAUAGCAGUUGUGAAGAGAAAAAGCAUAUACCGAUUCUUUUAUAUAUGGGGUAUAAAUAACCAGUGUUUUUGAACAUUCACUUCUGAAGGUUUGUCUGCCUCCUUCUCUUUCUUUUAAUUUGUCCAGGGAAAUAACGUUAAAUCAGUAUUGUUUUCCUCCCAUUUCUAUGUCUUCUUUGAACUUUAAAAUGACUUUCCAUGCAUUUUUUCUUCAUCCAUUUCUCUGGAUCAAAAAACUACUAGAAGCAACACAUGUCCAAUAUGUCAAUCAUGCUGAUGUCAAUGUAGGCUUGCUCUGAAAUAAACCCAUUUUUCUAACAAGAUAUAUCAAAGAAAACUGCUUGAGAUCUUGGAAAAUCUGGCAUCCCUCUGAGUAAUUAAUACUGGAUUAAAUCAGCCUGACAAUUGAUGGGUGCUGCUUUCAUGACAGCCUUGGGGUGGCAGGAGGAUUUUUUUGAAACACAAUCAUCUGUGUCAGGCUGAUUAGAAAUUUACAGAACUAUCAAGAGUCAGGCUGAUUAGAAAUUUACAGAACUAUCAAGCAUUCAUACCACAGCUGUGUGCAGCUAAAUGAAACUGAUGUAAAACAGCUUAUUACAGAAAUAUGACAGAAGCAGCUAAAAGAAGUCUGUAAACUAAAUCCAUGUAAAAAUCUACUUUUGCUUCACUUUCAGAAAAGCACAAGAGAUAAUUUAAAAAAUGGGAAAUGGGUGUAUAUUAGACACAGCUUCUAUGUUUAUCAGCAUGGAAUUUAUAAACUGUAGUUAGAGAAAAGGAAUGUAACUUUCACAAAUAUAAAAUGACUAUAUCUUAAGUGGACAAACUAUAUUCUCAAGUCAUGUUAUCUUGCUGUUAUUUCUUUUGCACCUGUGAAUAGGCGAUGUGUGUCUUCUCAACCUGCUAUCCACUUGAAUUAUUGAUGGGGGAUUCUGAAAUCCUUAUUUUCUUUUUUUAAUGAUUGUUUUCACCAGACUUGGAACUUUAAAUUGAUUAUGGUUCUUGAAAGAAAGGACUGUCCUAACCAUUAAGACACAUGGUUAUGUUAUUACUUCUGAUUAACAUGUGUGUGUCACCGCAUACAACAAAUAAUUGUCAACAAAAUCUUUAGAAAAGAAACAUUCUGAAUUUAUUUAAGGAAUAAUUAUCUGCAUGGAGGAAAAAGCACCAUGUUGUAGCUUCAGGAAUGGAAAAAAUCCUGGCAAUCUAUAUAUCAACUCCUGCUUUGGAGGUAGGGGAGCCACUUCCCACUAUGAAAGAGCAAGUCACAACAUAAAUAUGCUUACUUCAAAGUAUAACAAAGAAAUGUGUGUCGUGUGUUGCUAUUGAAAUGACAGCUCUUAAGAAUUGGAGCCUAUUGCCCCUCCUAAAAUUUCUUCUGGAGAAUUGGGAGAACCAACCAAAGCAGUUGGAAAGGGACAGAAAAGACAAUUAAGUUGCCUGAAUGGAAAGGGUGAUUUUCACUUAAUGAUAUAGGCUUUUUUUCUUCUUCUUCUUCUAUUCAAUUGUAUCUGGUUCACAGAGAUCAGAUUAAAUGAAAUCAGCAAUGCAAAGUAGAAAUAGGUGGUCCAUGCUGAACAGAAUUACUGUUCUAGCUAUUUUGUGCCUCUACCCACUACUAACUGACCCUCUCUGCUAAUAUUUACAAAGGCAUGCAGUAAGGAGAGGCAUUGAAAGGCUGAAAAUGCUAGUUGCCCAAAAUGGGACCAAAAUCAUGCACCUGUUGUGAAGAACCAGCCAAGUCUUAGGUCAGUCUAUCAUAAAUAUUCCCUCACCAUGAGGGCCUCCUCCUCUUCAAGCAUGUUUUAUGCCUCCAUUAUGUGCUAUUUGAUCCUCUGUUAAUGCCACAAUUACAAAAAGGCCAUGGAGAUCUAUUUGAUUGCUUGUCAAUGGAAUAAACACCUUUGCUACAGCAGGAGAUGGCUGAAAAGAUUCAAGUUUCUCAUUUGCUUACCUGCCUAGCAGGUAUUUCUAAGCCAUCAGAUGAAUGAAAUAUUAGUCACAAAGACCCACUGCUAGCAACAUAACUUUCUGUCUGUCCUCAAUUACAAGAAAGCAGAUAAUGUAAUUGAUUAACAGCCCCCCUCCCACACACACACAAAAGCAUUAUGGCAACAGGUGCAACACUGUUUGGUUUAAUUCUCUCCUUAUUUAUUUCAAAGAUCCGUCUGGCUGCUCAUCUUAAAACAUAACUCUGGGUGGGUCACAGUAGUAAUGAAAUCUCAAACCACAAAACCAAAAACAACAAUUAAAAAAGAAACAUUUCACUUUUUACUUUGCUUUUCUGUGAGAAUGAUACUUGUAAAUGAUCUGCUUGAAUAUAUAUGCAAAGAAACUUUAAAAUGGUUCUGUGACAAGAGAUUUAAGCAGCUUAGAUAAGUGAUUUUAGUAAUGUAACCAGAGGAUAAUUCUCUAUUUGAAGAACCGUCAGAACAAACUGUGAUGAUGAAGCACCAUUUGCACAAUUCAAUUUGGGUGGGCAUCUUAAUAAAUGAAAUAUAGAAAAUCUCCAAGACAAAGCAUAUAACCCAGGUUAAUAAAAACAGAAAAAACCCAAUUCUGGGAGGAAGGAAGGAACAACUAGCAUAUGGCUGUCAAACUUGCCGUGCCACAUGUUUUUCCCAUUCACACAGCUGGGGUGUCUGUGGCCUGCACGCAUCUGGCCUGUGGACUGCCAGUUUGACACCCCUGAACUAGUAUGACACUAAAUAGCCUAUAUUUCAAACAUGGCUAAAAUAGUAAACUUUUAAGCUAUGGUUCAAAUAAAAACAGAACUAUAGAAAAAUACAAAAUGGAUUCCCCAUGUUUACUCACAGGGCUGCAUUUAGCACCUAAUAUCGUUGCUUUCACAGCUCUUGCUCUACAGCAGAGGUCUCCAACUUUGGCAACUUUAAGACUUGUGGACUUCAACUCCCAGAAUUCCUCCACUGGCAAAUCCAAGGCAAAGCUGGCUGAGGAAU
Ahaetulla prasina is the source of this 4038-nucleotide long non-coding RNA. RefSeq lists it as uncharacterized. The record is from RefSeq and is a predicted model, not a curated record. The transcript has 4 exons. NCBI's taxonomy places the organism in Eukaryota, Metazoa, Chordata, Lepidosauria, Squamata, Colubridae.